This 331-nucleotide ribosomal RNA is filed under the name Salmonella enterica subsp. enterica serovar Typhimurium. Its description in RNAcentral is "bacterial SSU rRNA". It matches the Rfam family "Bacterial small subunit ribosomal RNA", at positions 100 to 435 of the family's 1533-position model. Lineage: Bacteria; Pseudomonadati; Pseudomonadota; Gammaproteobacteria; Enterobacterales; Enterobacteriaceae. The record is from RNAcentral.
GACGGGUGAGUAAUGUCUGGGAAACUGCCUGAUGGAGGGGGAUAACUACUGGAAACGGUGGCUAAUACCGCAUAACGUCGCAAGACCAAAGAGGGGGACCUUCGGGCCUCUUGCCAUCAGAUGUGCCCAGAUGGGAUUAGCUUGUUGGUGAGGUAACGGCUCACCAAGGCGACGAUCCCUAGCUGGUCUGAGAGGAUGACCAGCCACACUGGAACUGAGACACGGUCCAGACUCCUACGGGAGGCAGCAGUGGGGAAUAUUGCACAAUGGGCGCAAGCCUGAUGCAGCCAUGCCGCGUGUAUGAAGAAGGCCUUCGGGUUGUAAAGUACUU